AAGUAGAUGUUUAACAGCUUGCUGAGAGUUUAUCCUCAGCCGGACCUAGUGGAGACACUAGUAAUCUGAGAAAUGAGCUUGGAGAUUAUUUUUCUCCAUGACCCAUGUUCGGUAUGAGACGAACACUAGGCUGCCUGGCAUAAAAAUAAAACAUUAAUAAAAAAAAGUCACAAAAAACAACAUAUUUUUAAACAAUUCUUCUAGUAGCAAUGGAGCCGUAGCUCCAAUUAAACGUUAUGAAAAUGCUUUAUUGAGCAAAAAUAUAAUUUUAACUGAAAAUAAAAAUAAAUCAGGUAUUUAUCACUGAGUAAAUAAAUUAAAUAAUAAUACUUAUGUGGGUAGUGGUUUAGAUUUAUCUAAAAGAGUAGGUGAUUACUACAAAAAAAGUGAACUAAAUAGAAAUCCUAGACCUAUACAUGCUGCUUUACUAAAAUAUGGAUACGAAAAUUUCAAUUUAGAAAUUUUAGAAUAUUGUAGAGCAGAUGAGCUUGUUGCAAGAGAACAGUAUUAUUUGGAUUUAAUAAAACCUGAGUAUAAUAUAUUAACAAAUGCUUAUUCUUUGUUGGGUUUUAAGCAUAGCCCUGAAAAUAUUGCUAAAUUUAAAUUAAAAAAGAUUUCACAGGAGCAUAAAGAUAUAUUAUCUUUAACUCAUUUAGGUAAGGUUGUUAGUCAGGAAACUAGAGAUAAAUUAUCUCUUGCUACAACCAAUUAUAAAAAAAAUAAUCCUCUUUCACCAGAAGCUUUAGCUAACAUAAAAGCUAAAACUGCGGAACGAGAAGGAGUAUCUGUUUCACUUUUAAAUACUCAAACUAAUGAAGUAGUAGAUUUUCCUACUUUAACUCAAGCAGGAGAGUAUUUAGGUGUAAAAAGACAAGCUAUACGAAACGCAAUUAAGAGAGGAAGUCUUGUUAAGGGACUGUAUCGUGUUACAGAGAAUUAGUAGGGCAGUAUAUACACACAUAUGUACUAAAUAAACUUAUAUAAAAUUACUUUAGCUUCAAUAUUAAACAAAUGAAGCCAGGGAUAUAUACAUUUUUUAAUAUGUAAUAUAACCUGUUGUCUAAAUGGAUGGUUCAAAUAUUGAACUGUUUAGGGAGAAGAUCUUUGCUUAAUUAGUGCAGAAGCAAGAUCUCUGUGUAUGUCAAAAGGGAAACAGCCCAGAACAAGAGUUAAGGUUCCGAAAUUAUUAUUAAGUGAAAUUAAGAAAGUUUUUAUUUAAGUCGACAAGGAGAUGGGCUUAGAAGCAGCCAUAAUUCAAAGACCUCGUAACAGAGCACUUGUUAAUUUUUUAAAAGCGUCUAAAAUUUAACGGAUCUAAAUAAUAUACCGAUACCUUGUCCAUAAUUGAUUAUAAUAAAUUUAUUAUUGUCGUUACUGGGGUAGCAGAACAUUGAGUAAACCUGCAACAUUUUUAUUAUUAUUUUAAUAGAUGUGAUAUACAGUAUACUCAAGUGAUAAUGGUGACAUGAGUAACAAAAAAGAAGUUUGAUCAAAUUUUGAUCGAGCGCUCGCCUAAAGCUUAUGGUUAUUUAAAGUAACGGCCUCUAAGUUUACAAUCCCAAAGGUUGAAACGAUGAGAAAAAUCUUAUUACUUAAAUGACAACAUUUUUAAAGUGUAAAGUGUGCUGGAAAAAAUAAGUAAUAUAUCCAUGUUUUACAAUAAACUAAAAUAGAUGAGUAAGACGUUGAUGAAAAAUAACCGUACCUAAAAACUGUGACAAGUAAGCUAGUGUAGAAUACGAAGGCGUAAAUGAGCUAACAAUCAUAAAGGAACUCGGCAAACUGACUACCGUAACUUAGGGAUAAGGAGGGCUCUAUUGUCCCAGGUAUCCAUUUUUAUCUUGGCAAUAAACUAAAAUAGAUGAGCAAGGUAAAAAAAAAGGAAUCACGGGUAAGAAGGAAGAAGCAUGAAAUAAUGUUGUACGACUGUUUAAUUAAAACAAAGCACUUUGCAUAAAGACUUAAAGUCUAAGUAUAGAGUGUGAUUUCUGCCCGGUGCCGGCUGGCUAACGAAAAUAACUAACUUUAAAAGGUUUGGUACUGUAGGAACCCCCGGUUAAUGGCGGCCUUAACGUGAGGGUCCUAAGGUAGCGGAAUACCUUGACUGUUAAAUGCAGUCUUUGCAUGAAUGAUGUAACGAUACAACAGCUGUCUCUAUGAUUGACUCAGUGAAAUUGGCAUAGCAGUGUUUAUGUGUGAUUAUAAAUUAAUAAUCUCGCUGCGUAAGUGAAAAUCUUACUCUGUAAACAUACUUUUUAUAAUGAUAAGAAUCUUUUUAUAAUCUCCAUAAACCAGACUUCAUAAAACUUUUAUGAGGCUUAAUUAUUAAAACUAAGCGUUCCAGCUAUGCUGGGAUGCCUAUAAAACUAGUAUUCACUAGUAUAAAAGUGAAGCUAAUUAUAGUAACACUUUUAUUUUAACAGAUUUACAUUAAAGGAGAGUUAUAGCGUAAAGCUUGGAAGUUAUACUACAGCAGUCAUUAUCCUAUGAAAGAGUGAACGUGCAUGGCUUCGGGGAAUUCUUUGAAUAAAAAGUAAAAUGGAGCUGAUAGAAGGUUACAACCGUACAGUUCUAUAAUUUACAGAAAAAUUAGGUGAAAACGGUCAACGGUAUCCUAACCAUAGACCGUCGGCAGUUGUAAAUGCCGCUACAGACUGGAUCACCGGGGCUAGGCUGAAAUGUCUGUCCAAAUGUACAGUCGGGUUCUGUAACGAAAUUAAAUUCGUAAGAGGGAAGGAAUUUCUAUAAUAUAUUUAUAGAUAACCAUCACACAGUGGUAAGUUAACCUCUAGUUAAUCAGAAUUGGCAGAUACUGCUUACCUCUAGUUAGACGAGAGUGCGACUAGAAAGUGCAAUAUAACAAUGUGGUGAAAUUCCACCUGAUAACCCAUUAUCUGAGCUCAUGCGGUAUGCAUUAAGAGUAAUCUUUUUGUGUAAAGCCUGCAAAAUUAGUUAUACUAUCCUUCCAUAGCAAUGCUGUGGAAGGCGAGCUAAUAUUACUAUGGAUAAAUUAAGUUGA
Molecule: ribosomal RNA, 3019 nt
Filed under: Daldinia eschscholtzii
Lineage: Eukaryota; Fungi; Ascomycota; Sordariomycetes; Xylariales; Hypoxylaceae
Source: RNAcentral